CCUACGGGUGGCUGCAGUGGGGAAUAUUGGGCAAUGGGCGCAAGCCUGACCCAGCAACGCCGCGUGAAGGAAGAAGGCCCUCGGGUUGUAAACUUCUUUUGUCAGGGACGAAACAAAUGACGGUACCUGACGAAUAAGCCACGGCUAACUACGUGCCAGCAGCCGCGGUAAUACGUAGGUGGCAAGCGUUAUCCGGAUUUACUGGGUGUAAAGGGCGUGUAGGCGGGAGAGCAAGUCAGAUGUGAAAUUCCAGGGCUCAACCCUGGAACUGCAUUUGAAACUGUUUUUCUUGAGUGAUGGAGAGGCAGGCGGAAUUCCGUGUGUAGCGGUGAAAUGCGUAGAUAUACGGAGGAACACCAGUGGCGAAGGCGGCCUGCUGGACAUUAACUGACGCUGAGGCGCGAAAGCGUGGGGAGCAAACAGGAUUAGAUACCCGGGUA
Molecule: ribosomal RNA, 440 nt
Filed under: uncultured bacterium
Lineage: Bacteria
Description: bacterial SSU rRNA
Rfam family: Bacterial small subunit ribosomal RNA
Source: RNAcentral